Molecule: long non-coding RNA, 1015 nt
Organism: Peromyscus eremicus (cactus mouse)
Lineage: Eukaryota; Metazoa; Chordata; Mammalia; Rodentia; Cricetidae
Exons: 6
Source: RefSeq, a predicted model, not a curated record
UCACGCCUACAAGGCGGGGCCAUGGGAGGCGCCUGGAGGCCUGAGAUCUGGAUGGGCGGUGCUCUCACUUGGUUCUGGGACCUUGGACAGUGAAGGUGGGCCAAGCAGAGCUCCAGAGAACACCGCUGGACUGCGAUACACCUUCCCCAGACCCCGCGACCUACCUAUCCCUUAACUUCUAGCUGCAGUCAGCCAAGAUCACCAGCAGGCCCUGCUUUGGAGCUGUACCAACGCUGAAAAGUGCUACUACACCCUCGAAAACCACGAAAGGAUUAUCAUUGCUUAUAAGAUAAAAGAUACUGAAUGUUUAUCAGCCACUGCUCACAACUGAAGUCUUCACUCUACCACGACUUUGCCACUUAUAGCUCCAUAGCCUAACCAGAACCAUGGUGCUCGAGAACUUUGGCAUCAUCCUCAUUCCCAUGCUCCUAUUCACAAACUCAGGAGCAGGAGCUGCAGGAUCUCACACAUCCCCAACUCUCUCACAUACUGGCUUAUUGCUGUGCCAGCCAGUACCCAUGUGUGGGGACAGGAUCUACAACCCCUCGAAGCAGUGUUGUGUGGAUGAUGCCAUCUUGCCCUUUAACCUGACCCGAAACUGUGGUACCACUGACUGCCCCUACUGGCCCUGCUUUGAACUUUGCUGUUCAGAGCCUUAUGGCCCCCAUCCAGAAUUUCUUAUCAAGCUGAAACUUCAGGGGGAGAGAUCCCGUUGCAGUUCAUCCCCCAUCUCUGGGGACUGUGCCAGCAGAAACAUUUUACAGAGAAGAUAUCCAAGAAAAUCCACUUUUUAUUAGGCUACAAGUGAUGCCCAGAUUCGAAUGUCUGGUUUCUUCCAGUAAAUACCAGCUCCUGAAUGUUCCUACUAGAAGGAUGGGCACCUGAGGCAUUGGAAUGAAGUGACAUUAUGUGUGCAUCAUUAUAAUGCUCAUUUGAACAUAGUUUAAACAUGUAUUGGAAUGUUCUAAAAUUAUCAUGUGUCAAUGCAAUUAAAGAUAAAUAUAUCCAACCUCAA